This 604-nucleotide ribosomal RNA is filed under the name uncultured bacterium. Its description in RNAcentral is "bacterial SSU rRNA". It matches the Rfam family "Bacterial small subunit ribosomal RNA", at positions 336 to 955 of the family's 1533-position model. The record is from RNAcentral.
CCCUUACGGGAGGCAGCAGCAAGGAAUUUUUCGUAAUGGACACAUGUCUGACGGAGCAACGUCGUGUGCAGGACGUCGGCCUUUCGGGUUGUAAACUGCUUUUUGGUGGGGCGAUGAUGACGGUACCACCUGAAUAAGCCCCGGCUAACUCCGUGCCAGCAGCCGCGGUAAGACGGAGGGGGCAAGCGUUGUCCGGACUCACUGGGCGUAAAGCGUGCGUAGGUGGUGCGAUGCGUCGGCGCUGAAAGCCGGGCUUAACCGGGCGACGGGCGACGAUACGAUCGCACUGGAGGCAGGGAGACGUUGGUGGAAUUCCGGGUGUAGUGGUGAAAUGCGUAGAGAUCCGGAGGAAUGCCGGUGGCGUAAGCGGCCAACGAGUCCUGACCUGACACUGAGGCACGAAAGCGUGGGGAGCAAACCCGAUUAGAUACCCGGGUAGGUCAACGCCGUAAACGAUGUCGGCUAGGUGUGUGAUCGGGGUGACCCAGUGGCGUGCCGAAGCUUACGGGGUAAGCCGACCGCCUGGGGACUACGAGCGCAAGUUAAAACUCAAAGGAAUUUACGGGGGCCCGCACAAGCAGCGGAGGUGUUGGUAUAAUUGGCG